GUUUGGAUUAGCGUUCAUCUCGUCCGCGCGCGUAACCGUCUUAUCUCCGUUUCUCGGUAACGCGUAUAUUUACACGUUCACCGCGUUAGUAUUUAUCCCGAAGUGAAAUCGUUCGUUAUAAAAUUUGGGCCACCCCCAAGUUAUCCGACCACUAUACCCGUAAAAGUACGGUCCGCGUAAAAGUCCCUAUCGCACGCACUUCAAUUACCGCGUACUAAUAACCGCACACGUUGUUUAUAUAAUAUUCGUGUAAAUAAUGCAUCGAUUUACCAGCGCGUCCGAGUGUAUAUUACAUUUUACCAUAAUAGAC
This is a non-coding RNA of Cinara cedri, 310 nucleotides long. NCBI's taxonomy places the organism in Eukaryota, Metazoa, Arthropoda, Insecta, Hemiptera, Aphididae. The record is from the annotation of a GenBank genome assembly.